Long non-coding RNA from Lolium perenne, 1179 nucleotides. RefSeq lists it as uncharacterized. The record is from RefSeq and is a predicted model, not a curated record. NCBI's taxonomy places the organism in Eukaryota, Viridiplantae, Streptophyta, Magnoliopsida, Poales, Poaceae.
AAUGUGUAGCCAUUAUCGGUGCCAUUGACAUUGUUUUUGCUAACUCAAUACAUCGUCUAUGUGUGUGGCACAUGUAUCAAAAUGCUGCAAAACAUUUGAGCCAUGUUUUUCAAGGUUCCAAGACAUUCAAGAAAGAUUUUGGCAAGUGUGUUUUUUUAUUUUGAAGAAGUUGAAGAAUUUAUAGCAGCUUGGAAUGAUAUGUUAAAGACAUAUAAUUUGGAAGACAAUGAGUGGCUACAUAGAUUAUUCCAGAGCAAAGAGAAGUGGGCGCUGGUGUAUGGUCGGUAAACCUUCUGCGCAGAUAUGAUAUCUACACAAAAAAUGUCUAUAUACAUACAAAAUUUUAAUUAUAUUGUCAUAAUGUUUUCUUUUCUAAACAGGGCAAGCAACAAUGUACAAGAGUGGUAAUUGUGCUUCUGCAUCAUCCGAAGGAAAUCCUAGUUUCAAUGUUCAAUUGAACAACAACAAUUUAGCAGGAUUCAACUGGUCUAUGCCUCAACUACCGCAGGGCGGGAACUACAAUGUUCAAGCACUACCGGGCGCUAUGCCUCAACUACCGCAUGGCGGGAACUAUAAUUUUCAAGCACUACCGGGCGCUAUGCCUCAACUACCGCAGGGCGGAACUAUAAUUUUCAAGCACUGCCACAUGCUAUGCCUCAGGUUGAGAACUACAAUAUGCAAGUAUUGCAGCGGGCGAUGCCUCCACUACAUCAGGCGAAUGCAACUUUUCAGCAGUUGCUUGGUUUGCAGCCACAACAGCCAUAUUCCUAUUAUAACACUCAACCAAGUCAGAGUUCUGGUUCAGUAGGUUUACCAGAUAUGGGAUGGACAACAUAUCAAAAUGGUCAGCUGCCAAGCAAGUUCUUGGGUAGCCAAUCAAGUCAUCAACAAGAUAAUCCUUUUUAAGUGGCUCGACGUUACAGUUCUUGGGAUGUAGUACUUGAUCUUACCAUUCAUAUUACAGCUCGAUAUGUAAGAAUACUGGUUAUGCACUAGUUUAUUUUCUAUGGUUUAGUUCUAAGUUAAACGUUGUCUUGGAGAUUAAAUUUUCCACAAGGAACUUCCAGCAAUUUGUGUUCCCCGUUGUAGUGAUCCACAACAUUUGAUGUGAUAUAGUAAAUAAAUCCAUAUGCUACAAGGGGAGUAAGGCGUACAUGGUUAAUUAAGUGAUGAACUAUC